GCAAGGGAGGGAAGCCUCUGAUACUCCCUGAAUACUCCAGAGAGAAAAUGAGUGACUGCUGUAGGCCGUCGAAAGUUGAAGAAAAUACAGAAAUUUUAUAUAAACUGAAAAUCAGUAAGGAAAAUCAAAGAGUUGAUAAGGCCUGCCCAAGAGGAUGAGAAGCUUCCUUUUUACUGCUGUGGAUUCUUACAAGAUUGUCAACUCAGGGUGGACUGACAAGUAACCUAACACAAUCUCCUUCAUAGCCUCUUCCAGCCCAACUAUCAUUCUCCUUCCAGUCCAAGGUGUGGCAUCUGAUAAUUAAAACACGUCCAUGGAGAAUUUUUGAAGGUCAUCUCAUUUCUCUUUUAUGUGUGAUAUCAUUUAUAAAGGCAGAAGGAGCACUACUUUUGUGGGCACUGAAAGCUUUACUUCCAUGCAAAAAAAUAGGUCAUUAUUGUUUCACUGUUAGAAAUUCCAGAAAUCAUUUCUCUUGGAGACAUGAUUGUGGCAAAGAAAACUUGGUAGGUUACUAUAUCAAUGACUGUAAAACUUUGGGGAGAUUCUUUCAAAAGAAAGGCAUCGGUACUAACAUGGGAGGCUUAGAUACACCAACUGGUUCUCUCUGAUUUUGGCACAGAGAGGGACAAUUGUUAGAACAGAUGGGAAGGUACACUAUGAUAAUUCACUUUGUAAUGAGCAGCAUCAUAAUUUAAAAUAUAUAUCUCAAUUACACCUCAAAUACUUGUUUAGGGAGCAGUCAGUGAAGGUCCGUUAUUGAAUACUUACUGUUAAGUCUCUUCCCAGAUGAAAUCUAGUCGUAUGAUGCAUGAAUUAAUACCAGCGAGGUGACUGUACAAAGCAGGAUUAGCAAACUUAUCUGUAUGUGAAGCAAUGUAAAUUAACAAAAUGGAGAAGACAUUCAUAAAGACUUGAAACUUCCCAGAAUGGCUCUUCACUUCACAAGGUGCUUGCAGUUUUUUCAUGUGUUAUUCAAGCAUCACAGCAGUCACUAGAUGACUGCUUACCAUUUGGGCAAGUGAUAGUCAUACCUAAUAUACCCAAGAGACACAAACAUUUAUAAAGCAUAUGGGAGCAGCCAGAGGAUGGGAGAUCAAAGACACUUUUGAAGGAAGAAGUGAAAGGAAAAAAGUAGAUCUGAAAGAGACUUUCUGAGGUGUUGGGGAGAAGCAGGAAGUAGAGAAUCCUCAAACAAUUUAUCUUCGGGUUUAAAAAUAUUAUUUCCUUUAUGCUAAACAAUUAGAUCAUGGGCAUCCAACCUUAUUGCUUGCUAGGACACACCAAGCAAACAGGAAUUGUCUUAGGCCACAUAUAAAAUAAAUAAUACAGUUAAUGUACUUAAGUAACAAAACUUCUUUUUUUUUAAUGUAUUUUUUAUUAAAAUGUAAAAAAACAUAGAUCAACAAAGAUGUAAAACUAGUGAGAUAUUUGACUUUGUGAAACUAAUGCAUCAGUGUUUGGAUUGCAAUUCAUAGUGAGUUUUCAAGGUGUUUGUCAGAGAUUUUAGAUGAAACUUUACUCUGCUCUCAUACAUUCUGCCAGCAAGAAAUCUAUUCCAGACCUGGAAGCAGUUUAGAGGAAGAGAAAGUGAAG
Molecule: long non-coding RNA, 1593 nt
Organism: Gallus gallus (chicken)
Lineage: Eukaryota; Metazoa; Chordata; Aves; Galliformes; Phasianidae
Source: Ensembl